GAUGAACGCUGGCGGCGUGCCUAAUACAUGCAAGUCGAGCGAACAGACGAGGAGCUUGCUCCUCUGACGUUAGCGGCGGACGGGUGAGUAACACGUGGAUAACCUACCUAUAAGACUGGGAUAACUUCGGGAAACCGGAGCUAAUACCGGAUAAUAUAUUGAACCGCAUGGUUCAAUAGUGAAAGACGGUUUUGCUGUCACUUAUUGAUGGAUCCGCGCCGCAUUAGCUAGUUGGUAAGGUAACGGCUUACCAAGGCAACGAUGCGUAUCCGACCUGAGAGGGUGAUCGGCCACGCUGGAACUAGGACACGGUCCAGACUCCUACGGGAGGCAGCAGUAGGGAAUCUUCCGCAAUGGGCGAAAGCCUGACGGAGCAACGCCGCGUGAGUGAUGAAGGUCUUCGGAUCGUAAAACUCUGUUAUUAGGGAAGAACAAAUGUGUAAGUAACUAGGCACGUCUUGACGGUACCUAGUCAGAAAGCCACGGCUAACUACGUG
Molecule: ribosomal RNA, 497 nt
Filed under: uncultured bacterium
Lineage: Bacteria
Description: partial 16S ribosomal RNA
Rfam family: Bacterial small subunit ribosomal RNA
Source: RNAcentral